CCGCUUCGGAAGAGCCGGUUGUUCCUGUGCCCCACGGACUGCACCCACCCCUUCUAAGCCCCAGGCCUUGUCGCCCGGGCAAUCCGAGCCAGGAGCGGUCGGGCAGAGAUUCGCCUGGAAUUCAACCCCAAACACCACCCUUGUCCUCCCCUCAGCGCCCUCCCAGACCAUGGGACAUGACUCAGAGGACUCUGAAGCAAAUCUAGACACCCUGUCUCCUCAUCGUCGGGGGUUGGGGUAUGAGAGAACCGUUUGUGCAAAAGAUCCUCCUAUAACACACCAGAAGGACCGUAACCCCUCCUCUUUUACUCUCCAAGUUGAUAUGUUCCCCCUCAGAUUCAGGCACAGUAAGUACUAUUUCAAAUUCUCCAAUAAACUUCUCCAGGGUGGUCUCUAGAAAGG
Non-coding RNA from Manis javanica (Malayan pangolin), 402 nucleotides. The record is from RefSeq and is a predicted model, not a curated record. NCBI's taxonomy places the organism in Eukaryota, Metazoa, Chordata, Mammalia, Pholidota, Manidae.